UAGUGUGCACACAAGAUAUGCAAGAAGAAUUUGAGUUUUGGUUGUUCAUAAGAAUAUGAUGGUUGUAUGUUGUUCUAAGGACAAAUAAGAAUAAAUGACUUAGGAUCCGUUUGGUAUCUAGACUCAUCUAAUGCUAAUAGGUAAUUGAUAUAGAGUUAGGGUGAAAGUACAUAAAGAUAUACUUCUGUAUUUUUUGAUGGGACUAUAAAAAUAUUUCAUAACUGACCCAUUACCAAUAUAUGCAAUGCAAUAUUACGUACGAAAACAAACAGAAUAUUUUUCCGUUCUACUUUUUUCUCCAUAUAUGAUGUAAUUUCUCUGUAAUUUCAAAUGUAGAUUUAGGCCCCGUUUGGAUACCUCUAAAAACGUAGCACGCUGGUAGAAAAUAAUCCUAUGAAGCGUUUGGAAGAAAAAAAAAAUGACGUAAUUUUUGGAGUAUAGUUAUACUAUACUCCAAAAAAUAGAGUAAACUUACAAUCCACUUUAACCAAAGGAAAAAAAUUCCAUCAUUUUGGGCUCCCAAAGAUGUAUCAAUUUUUAAAUUUUAAAUUUCAACAUAAAAUUUUAGAUUUCAAAUUUUAAAAUUUUAAAAUUCAAAUUUAAUUUUGAUUUUAAAUUUCAAAUUUUAAAUUUCAAAUUUCAAAUUUCAAAAACUUCAAAUUUUAAAUUUUAAAUUUCAAAUUUCAAAAACUUCAAAUUUCAA
This 703-nucleotide long non-coding RNA is filed under the name Ananas comosus (pineapple). RNAcentral's name for it is "long non-coding RNA (ACOM_LNC013058)". The record is from RNAcentral. Lineage: Eukaryota; Viridiplantae; Streptophyta; Magnoliopsida; Poales; Bromeliaceae.